Molecule: ribosomal RNA, 490 nt
Filed under: uncultured bacterium
Lineage: Bacteria
Description: partial 16S ribosomal RNA
Rfam family: Bacterial small subunit ribosomal RNA
Source: RNAcentral
AGUGAACGCUGGCGGCAGGCCUAACACAUGCAAGUCGAACGGCAGCACAAGAGAGCUUGCUCUCUGGGUGGCGAGUGGCGGACGGGUGAGGAAUGCAUCGGAAUCUGCCCAUUUGUGGGGGAUAACCUCGGGAAACCGGGACUAAUACCGCAUACGACCUACGGGUGAAAGCAGGGGAUCUUCGGACCUUGCGCAGAUGGAUGAGCCGAUGCCGGAUUAGCUAGUUGGAGGGGUAAAGGCCCACCAAGGCGACGAUCCGUAGCUGGUCUGAGAGGAUGAUCAGCCACACUGGGACUGAGACACGGCCCAGACUCCUACGGGAGGCAGCAGUGGGGAAUAUUGGACAAUGGGCGCAAGCCUGAUCCAGCCAUGCCGCGUGUGUGAAGAAGGCCUUCGGGUUGUAAAGCACUUUUGUUGGGAAAGAAAAGCAGCCGGUUAAUACCCGGUUGUCAUGACGGUACCCAAAGAAUAAGCACCAGCUAACUUCGUG